GAAGGUUUUGAGUUAUGGGAGAGGCAGGUCUGUUAUAUUAGAAGCGCCGGCACACGACAGCAACUGUGGCUGCGCAUUUUCUGUGCUCGUCUGAUCCUUCCAAAGCUCCUCCGUAUCUCCAAGCGGCCAAGUCUCGGCUCGAACAAGCUACCCCGUACGAGAAGGCAGUUUUCGAUUCUGUCAAUUGUUUGAUUUCCGGGGAUAGAGAUGAUGAUGUUGCCUUUGAGUUGCAUUCUAAGGUGGGACCAGUUCUUUUAUUGGAAUUUUUCCAUUUCCUGAUUUGCAGAUGAUGCAGACAUUUAGUUUGGUUAUAAUUGUGGGAGACGUCUGGAAUGCUCCGGAGCGUCUGUGAGACGUUUGUUUUGUGACGGAAGUGAAAAGGUAACUAGCUCGUUUUAACUGUCGAUUGCAAGCACGUCCUAGCGAGGUGCGUCGUGCGUGGGUGACUAUGCGUUGCAGGUCUGUGUUGUCUUGGAUCCGACAGAAAGGCUGGGUCGAGGAGGCGGGGUAUGACUGGAGAGGGAACUGAUUUCUGGAUCGGAACGAAGAAACUAGGGCUGACCUCGGGCUGGACCAGCGGAAGAUCCGGAAGGAGUAGUUGGAUCGGAGGUUGAUCAAGGGAAGCGAGAUGGAGCCCGACCUGGAUUGCCAUAUCGAGCUGGAGGAGAGGAACUUGUACCUGAGGAAGUGGUGGUUGCGUGACGACAGCGGCGAGUAGAUUCCGAGCCAGUCGAGCUUCGACGGCGAGUCAACGCCGGACCAUUUGAUCAGAACCGAGUCGCCGGAUUUCGAUAGCCUCGUCGUGUUUAACGACACCGAGGGUUUCUGAUGGGUCGGAUCGAAACAGAACCCGAGUAUAAG
RNA transcript from Fragaria vesca subsp. vesca, 861 nucleotides. RefSeq lists it as uncharacterized. Lineage: Eukaryota; Viridiplantae; Streptophyta; Magnoliopsida; Rosales; Rosaceae. The record is from RefSeq and is a predicted model, not a curated record. The transcript is spliced from 2 exons.